Molecule: ribosomal RNA, 468 nt
Filed under: uncultured bacterium
Lineage: Bacteria
Description: partial 16S ribosomal RNA
Rfam family: Bacterial small subunit ribosomal RNA
Source: RNAcentral
GACGAACGCUGGCGGCGUGCUUAACACAUGCAAGUCGAACGGAAGGGCCCUGCUUUUGUGGGGUGCUCGAGUGGCGAACGGGUGAGUAACACGUGAGUAACCUGCCCUUGACUUUGGGAUAACUUCAGGAAACUGGGGCUAAUACCGGAUAGGAGCUCCUGCUGCAUGGUGGGGGUUGGAAAGUUUCGGCGGUUGGGGAUGGACUCGCGGCUUAUCAGCUUGUUGGUGGGGUAGUGGCUUACCAAGGCUUUGACGGGUAGCCGGCCUGAGAGGGUGACCGGCUACAUUGGGACUGAGAUACGGCCCAGACUCCUACGGGAGGCAGCAGUGGGGAAUAUUGCACAAUGGGCGGAAGCCUGAUGCAGCAACGCCGCGUGCGGGAUGACGGCCUUCGGGUUGUAAACCGCUUUCGCCUGUGACGAAGCGUGAGUGACGGUAAUGGGUAAAGAAGCACCGGCUAACUACGUG